Molecule: non-coding RNA, 125 nt
Organism: Daucus carota subsp. sativus
Lineage: Eukaryota; Viridiplantae; Streptophyta; Magnoliopsida; Apiales; Apiaceae
Source: Rfam
AAUACAAAAUAAAGAGAAACCUGAUUCUCUUUGUUUCGAGAAACCAGAGGCACAGUAAAGAUGGCAAGAUAUCGUUUCAUUCGUCAGCUCAUUAGAUUGGCGUUUUGAUUGUUGCUUGUCCACAA